Molecule: ribosomal RNA, 2747 nt
Filed under: Klebsiella pneumoniae
Lineage: Bacteria; Pseudomonadati; Pseudomonadota; Gammaproteobacteria; Enterobacterales; Enterobacteriaceae
Description: bacterial LSU rRNA
Rfam family: Bacterial large subunit ribosomal RNA
Source: RNAcentral
ACUAUCGUUAACUGAAUACAUAGGUUAACGAGGCGAACCGGGGGAACUGAAACAUCUAAGUACCCCGAGGAAAAGAAAUCAACCGAGAUUCCCCCAGUAGCGGCGAGCGAACGGGGAGCAGCCCAGAGUCUGAAUCAGCUUGUGUGUUAGUGGAACGGUCUGGAAAGUCCGACGGUACAGGGUGAUAGUCCCGUACACCAAAAUGCACAGGUUGUGAACUCGAAGAGUAGGGCGGGACACGUGGUAUCCUGUCUGAAUAUGGGGGGACCAUCCUCCAAGGCUAAAUACUCCUGACUGACCGAUAGUGAACCAGUACCGUGAGGGAAAGGCGAAAAGAACCCCGGCGAGGGGAGUGAAAAAGAACCUGAAACCGUGUACGUACAAGCAGUGGGAGCACCUUCGGGUGUGACUGCGUACCUUUUGUAUAAUGGGUCAGCGACUUAUAUUCUGUAGCAAGGUUAACCGUAUAGGGGAGCCGCAGGGAAACCGAGUCUUAACUGGGCGUUAAGUUGCAGGGUAUAGACCCGAAACCCGGUGAUCUAGCCAUGGGCAGGUUGAAGGUUGGGUAACACUAACUGGAGGACCGAACCGACUAAUGUUGAAAAAUUAGCGGAUGACUUGUGGCUGGGGGUGAAAGGCCAAUCAAACCGGGAGAUAGCUGGUUCUCCCCGAAAGCUAUUUAGGUAGCGCCUCGUGAACUCAUCUUCGGGGGUAGAGCACUGUUUCGGCUAGGGGGUCAUCCCGACUUACCAACCCGAUGCAAACUACGAAUACCGAAGAAUGUUAUCACGGGAGACACACGGCGGGUGCUAACGUCCGUCGUGAAGAGGGAAACAACCCAGACCGCCAGCUAAGGUCCCAAAGUCAUGGUUAAGUGGGAAACGAUGUGGGAAGGCACAGACAGCCAGGAUGUUGGCUUAGAAGCAGCCAUCAUUUAAAGAAAGCGUAAUAGCUCACUGGUCGAGUCGGCCUGCGCGGAAGAUGUAACGGGGCUAAACCAUGCACCGAAGCUGCGGCAGCGACACUAUGUGUUGUUGGGUAGGGGAGCGUUCUGUAAGCCUGCGAAGGUGACCUGUGAGGGUUGCUGGAGGUAUCAGAAGUGCGAAUGCUGACAUAAGUAACGAUAAAGCGGGUGAAAAGCCCGCUCGCCGGAAGACCAAGGGUUCCUGUCCAACGUUAAUCGGGGCAGGGUGAGUCGACCCCUAAGGCGAGGCCGAAAGGCGUAGUCGAUGGGAAACAGGUUAAUAUUCCUGUACUUGGUGUUACUGCGAAGGGGGGACGGAGAAGGCUAUGUUAGCCGGGCGACGGUUGUCCCGGUUUAAGCAUGUAGGCUGGUUGUCCAGGCAAAUCCGGAUAAUCAAGGCUGAGGUGUGAUGACGAGGCACUACGGUGCUGAAGUAACAAAUGCCCUGCUUCCAGGAAAAGCCUCUAAGCAUCAGGUAACAUCAAAUCGUACCCCAAACCGACACAGGUGGUCAGGUAGAGAAUACCAAGGCGCUUGAGAGAACUCGGGUGAAGGAACUAGGCAAAAUGGUGCCGUAACUUCGGGAGAAGGCACGCUGGUGUGUAGGUGAAGUCCCUGCGGAUGGAGCUGAGACCAGUCGAAGAUACCAGCUGGCUGCAACUGUUUAUUAAAAACACAGCACUGUGCAAACACGAAAGUGGACGUAUACGGUGUGACGCCUGCCCGGUGCCGGAAGGUUAAUUGAUGGGGUUAUCCGUAAGGAGAAGCUCUUGAUCGAAGCCCCGGUAAACGGCGGCCGUAACUAUAACGGUCCUAAGGUAGCGAAAUUCCUUGUCGGGUAAGUUCCGACCUGCACGAAUGGCGUAAUGAUGGCCAGGCUGUCUCCACCCGAGACUCAGUGAAAUUGAACUCGCUGUGAAGAUGCAGUGUACCCGCGGCAAGACGGAAAGACCCCGUGAACCUUUACUAUAGCUUGACACUGAACAUUGAGCCUUGAUGUGUAGGAUAGGUGGGAGGCUUUGAAGCGUGGACGCCAGUCUGCGUGGAGCCAACCUUGAAAUACCACCCUUUAAUGUUUGAUGUUCUAACGUUGGCCCCUUACCGGGGUUGCGGACAGUGUCUGGUGGGUAGUUUGACUGGGGCGGUCUCCUCCCAAAGCGUAACGGAGGAGCACGAAGGUUAGCUAAUCCUGGUCGGACAUCAGGAGGUUAGUGCAAUGGCAUAAGCUAGCUUGACUGCGAGCGUGACGGCGCGAGCAGGUGCGAAAGCAGGUCAUAGUGAUCCGGUGGUUCUGAAUGGAAGGGCCAUCGCUCAACGGAUAAAAGGUACUCCGGGGAUAACAGGCUGAUACCGCCCAAGAGUUCAUAUCGACGGCGGUGUUUGGCACCUCGAUGUCGGCUCAUCACAUCCUGGGGCUGAAGUAGGUCCCAAGGGUAUGGCUGUUCGCCAUUUAAAGUGGUACGCGAGCUGGGUUUAGAACGUCGUGAGACAGUUCGGUCCCUAUCUGCCGUGGGCGCUGGAGAAUUGAGGGGGGCUGCUCCUAGUACGAGAGGACCGGAGUGGACGCAUCACUGGUGUUCGGGUUGUCAUGCCAAUGGCACUGCCCGGUAGCUAAAUGCGGAAGAGAUAAGUGCUGAAAGCAUCUAAGCACGAAACUUGCCCCGAGAUGAGUUCUCCCUGAGACUUUAAGUCUCCUGAAGGAACGUUNGACGUUGAUAGGCCGGGUGUGUAAGCGCAGCGAUGCGUUGAGCUAACCGGUACUAAUGAACCGUGAGGCUUAACC